RNAcentral lists this long non-coding RNA (1221 nucleotides) under Capsicum annuum. RNAcentral describes it as "long non-coding RNA (CANN_LNC021312)". Lineage: Eukaryota; Viridiplantae; Streptophyta; Magnoliopsida; Solanales; Solanaceae. The record is from RNAcentral.
GCCCCUCCAUUGCUCACGAACAAUGUUUUAUUCUUCAAACUUGUUACUUUCUCCCAUCCAUCCAUUAUUUAUUGUGUAUCUCCAAACCUCUACCUCCCCUUCUUCGUGACAUAAAAAUACCGCGAACAUUCCCUUAUCGUCAGUAUCUUCUACGAUGUAAAUUCGUUGAAUUGAAUUUUAUUUUCGACGUCGACACCGAAAGAGCUUCCCAUAAAAUUUUCGACGUCGACACCGAAAUAGCUUCCCAUAAAAUUUCCAAGUAGGUUGUAGUUGACUUUUCGUUGAUGCUCAGUGUUGCCAAAUUUCCUUUAUCUCCCAGUAUGUAUAUAAUAUUUUUCUUUAUAAAAACCGCAUUAUUGCAUCCGUGUAAUUCAAAUAUUCUUUCGUUAUAUCCAUAUUCUGUAUAUUCUAUAUCAUUGGAAUAAUGAUAUGUCCAUGUAGUCUCUCCAACUUUGAUGAUGUAUAUAUCUGGAGGGGUACCAUAGGUGUCAAAACCAACGACAAAACAGCCUUCUGAGUCGGGAGGGCACGAAAAUGUCCAACAAGAGCAAAUAUUUUCUCUUUGCUCUAGAUCAGGGAGUUCAAUUAUGUCAUUGUCGAUAGCAUUGAAAAAGAACAUACCGCGAUUGCCAUGACUCAUGAGUAACCAACCAGCUUUUCAACUCCGAAUUCGGGAACCCUUUAAUUUUGAGAUACCCGGAUUAUGAGUAGUCACCACGUUAUACACGGGAUCAAAGAACUCUACAAUACCGGUUUUUUCAUGUAAGGUCAUCAAAUAAGGCAAUUGCAAAUCAUCAUGUAGCCGACGAGGCCGGUGUGAAGGAGGCAUCAAGGGCGCUAGCCGCCAUUGUUUACAAACGACACGAAAAACAAAGUAUUCACCAACAACGAGACGUGAUGCUAUUGAUCCGAGUAUGUCCGGUGGAAUACGAUCUGACCACAAUUUAUCAGAAUCCUCCAUUAUUCUGAGAAAAACUUUGCUUAGAUUUUUUAGAGAAAUUUGGCUUAGAUUUGAGAGAUUAAAUUGUGAAAAUUAUAGGUAUUACUGUAAUCGGAAAAGGCUUGUUAUUACCCUAUUUAAACUAGGACUAGUAUUAAUUGUUCCUUAUUAAGCAAAACAAAUUUCCUUUUCCUAAAAUAUUUGAACUAGAACUAGUAUUAAUUGUUCCUUAUUAAGCAAAACAAAUUUCCUUUUCUAACGUAUUUCCAAUUAUUUACGAG